UCUUUACUUUCACCCUUCCCAAUUAAUGAUGAUGAUUAUACUACCAUUUAGUUAUGCACCAUGCUACUCCAAAUAUCUUUACCGACUAUUCCAUGCUCUCUCAGUCCUACAUUGCUUUUCUGUUUUGGCAAAUCAGUGUCAACUUAAAUAUUCUUGAGUUCUAGAUUUUUCAUUUCUAUUAUAUCAUAGUCUCUUGUGUCAAGUCAGUUUUAUUUGUAUUGAACCAUUACUUUUAUCUAGUGCAAGAAUCAUAUUUGUGUUGUAAGAUGUUUGUGUUGUCCAUCAUGGACUGCUGCUUUAUUAUUUGUAGUAAAAUGGAUGAUAUUUUCUGCUUGAUUUUUGUUGCUCCUCAAAGUAAUUUUUUUUUUUUUUUUGUUAGUCCAGUGUGGACCCAGAUAUCUUUUACUGUUCAAACUUUGGUAGCCUUGGAUCAAUUGGUGGUAAGCCUUAUGGUAAUUAUUUGAAGAUGCUUUGGGCUGCUUAUUUCAAACUUCCACAGCCCCAAGACGCUGAACGACCCAGAAGCUAAACACCAGUAAACUUUAUAGUUCUCCUUUUUCUUUUUCUUUUUCUUUUUCUUUUUCUUCUUGUUUGUUCUUCCCAACUCCCUCCUGAUUGUGGCUUUUUGUGAAGGCGUUCAGCUCCGUGGGUUGCUUGUGAAUAAGGGUUUGGAGGAAGAUGUGUUUAUUGGGGAUUCUUUGAUUCAGUUCUAUGCAGAAUGUGGGGACUUGGAUUAUGCCUGGAAGGUGUUUGAUGAAAUGCUUGAGAGGAAUACUGUGUUGGGGACUAGUUCUGAUUUGCGGUUAUGGUUGGAGGGAUAUGACAAAGGAAGCUUUUUUCUUGUUUUUCGAGAUGGUGGCUGCCGGGAUUAAACCAAUUCGGUGACUAUGGUGUGUGUCAUUUCUGCAUACGCCAAGUUGAAGCAUGUAGCGUUGAGUGAGAGGCUUGUGCUUCCAUUGGGGGGUCUGGAUUGAAGAGUAAUAUGCUUAUGUUGAAUUCACUUGUUGAUAUGCAUAUGAAAAGUGGAGCUACUGAUGCUGCAAAGCGGUUUUUGAUGAAUGUGUGGAUAAAAACUCGGUUCUUUACAAUACAAUUUUGUCAAAUUCUGUGCGCCAGGGACUUGAUAAUGAAGCAGUUUUGGUCAUGGGUGAAAUGCUACAACAGGGCUUAAGACCCGACAAUGUUAUGUGCCAUAUCAGCUUUUGCCAACUAAGUGAUUCUCUCUCUGGAAAGUGUUCCCAUGGUUAUGUUCUAAGGAAUGGACCAGAAGGUUGGGAUACGAUUUGCAAUGCCAUGAUUGACAUGUACAAGAAGUGCAGCCAACCAGAAAUGGCCUGCAUAAUUUUUGACAAUAUGUCGAAUAAGAUUGUACUAUCACGGAACUCCUUGAUUUCUGGUUUCAUAAGAAGUGGUGAUGUGAAGUCAGUUUGGAAAAUGUUCAAUGAGAUGCGAAAAAGUGAUCUUGUUUCUUGGAACUCUAUGAUUGGUGCUCUGGUCCAAGAGAGCAGGUUUUAGGAAGCAAUUGAACUUUUCCGGGUGAUGCAGACUGAGGCAAUAAAAGGAGAUACGGUGACCAUGGUGGAGGUUGCAUCUGCCUGCGGAUAUCUAGGAGCUAUUGAUCUUGCAAAGUAGACUCAUGCUUAUAUCGAAAAAGAUAAACUUAACUGUGACAUGCGGCUCGGGACAGCUUUAGUUGACAUGUUUGCUAGAUGUGGUGACCCUCAAAGUGCAAUAAAGGUGUUUGAUAACAUGGCAAGAAGAGAUGUUUCUGCUUGGACAGCAGCCAUUGGAGCACUGGCCAUGCAAGGAAACGGGGAGCGAGCUCUAGAGCUUUUCGAUAACAUGCAUAAGCAAGGGGUGAAACCAGAUGUAGUCUUUGUGGCAGUACUAACAGCAUACAGCCAUGUUGGUCUUUUGGAACAAGGACGGAACAUUUUCAUGUCAAUGCAAUCAGUCCAUGGCAUUUCCCCUCAAUAUUGUUCAUUACAGUUGCAUGGUUGAUCUACUUGGCCGAGCAGGGGGCUUGGAAGAAGCUGUUGAUCUGGUAAAGAGCAUGCCAAUGGAACCUAAUGAUGUCAUUUGGGGCACUCUCUUGGCUGCUUGUCAAACCCACAAAAAGGUCGAAAUGGCAGCAUAUGCAGCUGAAUAGGUAUCUAAAUUGACUACUCAGAGGACUGGUAUUCAUGUGCUUCUCUCAAACAUAUAUGCAUCAGCUGGGAAAUGGGCAGAUGUUGCAAAAGUGAGGCUACAACUGAAAGAGGAAGGGAUUCAGAAGGUACCUGGAUGCAGUUCCGUUGAAGUUAAUGGAGUGAUUCAUGAGUUUACCUCCGGUGGUGAUGCUGAUACACACACAGAGAGGAGCCACAUUGCGUUGAUGCAAGAAAUAAACAGCAGACUCAGAGAUGCUUGCCACGUUCCUGAUCUGGACAAUGUCAUGCUUAAUGUUGAUGAGAAGGAGAGAGUACUUGCUCAGUCGAUAUAGUGAGAAAGUGGCCAAAGCUUUUGGACUUAAAGGUACAAGGUAAGAAGUGCCAAUUCGUGUGGUGAAGAAUCUGAGAAUGUGUUUUGAUUGUCACUCUUUUGCCAAGUUAGUGUCAAGAAUAUACCACAGGGAAGUUAUUGUUCAAGAUAACAGCAGGUACCAUUUCUUUAUGUAUGUUCUUGCAGUGAUUACUGGUAAUAGAAUUAUGAUUUGAAGAGAACUCUCCACCAAUUAUUAUUCUUCUUCAGUCUGCAGUCCAUUAUUGAUUGCUAUUGAUCUGCACUGCCAUUAUCAUUUUGUGUUAAUUACACAAUCCAAGUAUGCCUCCAUUAUCAUUAAGCCAUACUUCCAGGGAAAUAUGCAGAACCCAAUCUCUUCCACUGUCAUUGUUUAAACUCAUUUACUACUCUGCUGAAUAAACAAGCAUUGUAUAUGACACCAAUCAAGCCCUUGAGCCUGAAGCUGGAAUAACAGUGGUUCACCUAGUAUGCCAACUAAAUGGCUAUUUACCAACAGUACCCCAUCCACUUAAGAGUUCCGACAAGAAUGCCAUUCAUUCAGAUGUAUUCUUUAGUCACAUCUGCUUGGACAGCAGCCAUUGGAGCAAUGGCCAUGCAAGGAAAUGGGGAGCGAGCUCUAGAGCUUUUCGAUAACAUGCAUAAGCAAGGGGUGAAACCAGAUGUAGUCUUUGUGGCAGUACUAACAGCAUACAGCCAUGUUGGUCUUUUGGAACAAGGACGGAACAUUUUCAUGUCAAUGCAAUCAGUCCAUGGCAUUUCCCCUCAAUAUUGUUCAUUACAGUUGCAUGGUUGAUCUACUUGGCCGAGCAGGGGGCUUGGAAGAAGCUGUUGAUCUGGUAAAGAGCAUGCCAAUGUAACCUAAUGAUGUCAUUUGGGGCACUCUCUUGGCUGCUUGUCGAACCCACAAAAACGUUGAAAUGGCAGCGUAUGCAGCUGAACAGGUAUCUAAAUUGACUACUCAGAGGACUGGUAUUCAUGUGCUUCUCUCAAACGUAUAUGCAUCAGCUGGGAAAUGGGCAGAUGUUGCAAAAGUGAGGCUACAGCUGAAAGAGGAUGGGAUUCAGAAGGUACCUGGAUGCAGUUCCGUUGAAGUUAAUGGACUGAUUCAUGAGUCUACCUUCGGUGGUGAUAGUGAUACACACACACAGAAGAGCCACAUUGCAUUGAUGGUGCAAGAAAUAAACAGCAGACUCAGAGAUGCUGGCCACAUUCCUGAUUUGGACAAUGUCCUGAUUGAUGUUGAUGAGGAGGAGAAAGAGUACUUGCUCAGUUGACACAGUGAGAAAGUGGCCAAAGCUUUUGGGCUUAUAGGUACAGGGCAAGGAGUGCCAAUUCGUGUGGUGAAUAUCUGACAGGGAAGUUUGCCAAAUUAGUGUCAAGAAUAUCUGACAGGGAAGUUACUGUUCAAGAUAACAGCAGCUUCCAUUUCUUUAGUCAGGGGCUUUGCUCUUGCAGUGAUUACUGGUAAUAGAAUUAUGAUUGAAGAGAACUCUCCCCCAAUUAUUAUUCUUCUUUAGUCUGCACUCCCAUUAUUGAUUGCUUUUGAUCUGCACUGCCAUUAUCAUAGUGUUAAUUACACAAUCCAAGUAUGCCUCCAUUAUCAUUGAGCCAUGCUUCAAGGGAAUAUGCAGAACCCAAUCUCUUCCAUUGCCAUUGUUCAAACUCAUUGACUACUUGGCUGAAUAAACAAGCGUUGACCAAUCAAGCCCUUGAGCCUGAAGCUGGAAUGAAGGUGGUUCACCUAGUAUGCCAAGAAAAUCGAUAUCACCAACCGUACCCCGUCAACUUAAGAGUUUCAACAAGAAUGCCAUGCAUUCAGAUGUAUUCUUUCAGAGACACAGAAGGUUGAAGCUGUGACUUGAAAAUAAUCUUUUGACUUCAUGCAGGGCCAACUGCAUUUCUUUUCCAGUAAAGUGAUUAACGGGGUUGGUUGCUGAAUAGUUUUCAGCCGCAGUGAUCAAGUGCCAUGUGCUGUGGAUUCCAUCUUAAUAGGCUGUUGCAGGACGGCUACAAAUAGCAUCAGAGUUAACUGAGUUCGAAAACGGAUCGCACAACACCCGGUUUAGGCUUCUAUUAUCCGGUGGUGAGGUUCCGAAGUGGUUCCAUUGUUCGAAGGAGGUUGCUGUUAAUGAAAACGGCCCAUCCAGUACAUGUGCAAUUUCUUUUGAAAUCCCAAGCAAAUUGAAUUGGGCCAACAUAGGACUGGCUGUUUGUUAUGUUCUAGUUGAGGAACCUCUUAGUUUUAUGAUUCACGUAGGAGCUGAUAUUUCCAUCAAUGGGGUACUCAUAGAUCGGCAUUCCAAGUUGCCCGGUUCAAUGCCAGACCAUAUGUGGCUAAGUUAUAUUCCAUUAUGUGAUGAAAUAAAGGGAAAGGUGGAUCAAAACGGUGGGUCGCGUUAUCACUGUCGAGUUCAAUUUUACCCUGCUUCUCAAAUGAAGAGCUGUGGAGUUCACCUGGUAUGCCAACCACCGAUGACUAGCCUUCUAAUUGAAGAUGAUGAUGAAGAAGAGCCAACUCCGUUGUCACAGCUGUCUUCCAAACCUCCGAAACGGCACCACACCCCGGAAGAUGCAUCAACAGUGGUUCCUCCAAAACGACAACGCGCUGCCGGGCAACCAUCGCACAACCAUUCCCAUGGAUGAGUGGGGCAUGCUAGACUGGCUUUCUUCGACGAAUACAGAACAAAAGAGCCUCGUACUGGAGCCAAUGACAACAAGAGCAGCAGGAGCAACCAACUCUUUCAAAACGACACUGCCCUGAGGAACUACCAACAAUGCCUCCCAUCCCCGAUUACUCUGCAUCUGCAUCCACCUCUGAUCAAAUCUUCCAGACUUCUCAUUGGCAACAAAUCUUGAUCCUACCUCACCAGCCAGUACUCCAUAGUUCCAACAAUAAUAUAUGCCAUGUUCUUUCACAGACUACUCCAUAGUUCCAACAAUAAUAUAUGCCAUGUUCUUUCACAGACUAGCAGCUAUAUUCAGGAGAAUAUUGGUGGUAAUCAGCUAGCUAGGCCACGCAAAUAAGCUAGAAGCAGAGCGAUCAUAAGUGGUGGUUGAUAAGGGUUUUCAGUCAUAAGCAAGUGGCAUGAGUCUCUUUAAAGGCUGCUGCAGGAUCAGGCUCUCUCCAACAAGAAUUUCUUUUCAUCAAAACUGAUGAAUGAGAGAGCAUUCGUGGUAGUCAGCUAGGCUCUGCAAAUCAAGUGGAAACUAUAAACUUUCACUUGGAAUGGUUGCAGAUUCGGGCAAAAUUGGGUACAUGCUGAUCUGUCUGAAUUUGAGACCAGUGAAAAUAAACUAAAAGUAAAGGCAACAAGCAAACCUGCAUAGUUCCCAUCACUCAACUACUCCACAGCUUCAACACCAUGAGGAAGCAACUGAGUUUUCUGUCUUCGGAACCAACAAAACCUCGUGGCGCAAUUGAAGGUGCUCAAGACCCAUAGCUGUCUUUGUCUCUGCAAGCAACACUACCAUCCACUUCAGGUGACCAAUCUCUGUUUGAGGUGCAUCCUGUACAUUAAAUCUGGCCUGUUUUGAGUUGCAUCAUGGCAAGUUUCACAAUUUCGGCCUAGCAGCUGUUACUUCAGAAUUGACCAAAUGGCCCUGUCACUUUACACUAUAAGCACUACAUUGAUGGAAUUAAUGAAGGCAUGGUGCUUUGGAUCUCGUAGGCGCUUAAGAUUGGCUACAUGAUGAUGGGGAAUAAUGGUCUCAAAGCUGUUUUGCAGUCCUCCACAUUGUUGAUCCUCAAGUGAUUCCAUAGUUGUAGGAGAACAUUGGUGGUAUCAGCUAGCUGUAAAUGCAGAUUAAGUGGGGACUAUAGACAUUCCACUCUGAAAGGUUACAUAUUCUGGCCAAGUGGGGUACAUGCUGAUCCAGCUAAAUUUGAAAUGACUGCAAAUAAGCUUGAAGCAAAGGCAUAUGCUAUGUCCCCUUAGUUAAGUUCUAGCCUGGCUUUGGCUAAGAAUCUUGCUUCAAGGUGAUGCAGCGGUGUGUGCUGACCUUCUUGAGGAAAAUGGAAUUGGUUUUCAUUGUUUCUAAGGAUGGAAUUGAUACUUCUGACUGCCUGUAUUCUAUUGCCACGAUCAUAUGCGGUGGUUGAUGAGGGUUUUUAGAGUCAUAAGCAAGUGGCACGAGUCUCAUUAGAGGCUGCUGCAGGAUUAGGCUCUCUCCAACAACCAAAUUCCCUGAAGAAAUCCCAGCCCAUGUCAGCUUCAAUUGAAUCCCAACUGUUGUUUCACCACCCUGUGAAAUGCUUUGUGGUAGUCUGCAUUCGGAUCAGGAAGGGGCAGAUCUAUCUUGAUCGUUACUGCAUUAGAAUUUGAUACCUCAUUACUCCAUCAUCAUAUAAUAUCAUGUAUAAUUUUGCUUCUGCUCUAUCUCGAGGUGCAUUAGCAGAAGCAAAUUUCACUCAGAUGUGUUCUUUUAGAGUGGUUUGAAGCAACAAUUUGAAACGCUGCUGCAGAUUCAACUUCAAGUAUCAAAGGGUGAUUACAGACAUUGCUGUACUAUCUGGGAAUCUAUGAUGAGGCUGCUUCUUAGACGCCAAUGUAUAGAAUCAACAGCCAUGGUGCUGCAGAGAUUGGCCACAUCAUGAUGAGGAAUAAUGGUAUAUUCAUCUUCAUAGUCCAUACAAAUUGGUUGAUAUGAUUCAGUAUUAAUAUUUGGUUUCACUUUGUUACUUGCAUUUUGAUUAAUGUUAUCCAGUAAUAAAGUUUCUGGGUGUAGUAUUCAAUUUGUUAAUUCGUAUCUGUUAUUUUUUAAUGUGCAUGACUGUGGAAGAACGAACAAUUAAGAAGCAAUUCCAAAUCCAAGCCUUGCUUAGU
Rosa chinensis is the source of this 7325-nucleotide long non-coding RNA. RefSeq lists it as uncharacterized. The transcript is spliced from 16 exons. The record is from RefSeq and is a predicted model, not a curated record. NCBI's taxonomy places the organism in Eukaryota, Viridiplantae, Streptophyta, Magnoliopsida, Rosales, Rosaceae.